UGGGAUCAAACUGCGCUGCAAGACUUGUGGCGAGCCCUCCAGUUUUCUUGAUUUUAACAAUCACAAGAUCACGCAGCCGCGAUACAAUUGUAAGGCCUGCCGUUUUACUGUACAGUUAAGGGACGAGAAUCUCUUGAGGGAGCUUCGUUUGAUCGAUUAAGUAAACCUUAUAGAUUAGAUACGAUGUUCCAUAUGAUUUGAUUUACUCUUUAAACAUUGGGUAUCUGCCCUAAUUCCUCAAGAAGGCCCA
This 250-nucleotide long non-coding RNA is filed under the name Selaginella moellendorffii. RNAcentral describes it as "long non-coding RNA (SMOE_LNC002101)". Lineage: Eukaryota; Viridiplantae; Streptophyta; Lycopodiopsida; Selaginellales; Selaginellaceae. The record is from RNAcentral.